Molecule: unclassified non-coding RNA, 620 nt
Filed under: Hevea brasiliensis (rubber tree)
Lineage: Eukaryota; Viridiplantae; Streptophyta; Magnoliopsida; Malpighiales; Euphorbiaceae
Source: RNAcentral
AUAGUUUGGAGUGAGAAGAGAAUGACAAAGAAGCGAGAAGUAGAAGAUGGCGUGGUGCCUGCGGAGUCGACUGCAAAACGGCAGAAGGUAAUGGAUCAGUCGUCUCCCUCUCUUCCACCAGUUGCUUUUGAGAAUCCACUUCUUCCACUUGCAUCUUAUGAUGAUGAUGAAGACGACGAGGAUGAUGGUACGAAAGGACACAUUCCUGAGCAAGUUAUAAAUAAUGGUGGAGACAAGGAGCAAAAUGGCUACUCAUCUGACGAUAAAGAAGAUGAGGAUGAUGGUAGAAGCCAAGGGAAGCGAAAUCGUGCAAUUGAGAUUAGGAGGGACUGCCCCUAUCUUGAUACUGUGAACAGACAGGUAUUGGAUUUUGACUUCGAGAAAUUUUGUUCGGUCUCUCUUACAAAUUUAAAUGUGUAUGCAUGUUUAGUCUGUGGGAAAUAUUUUCAAGGAAGGGGACCAAAAUCUCAUGCGUAUACACACAGUCUUGAAGCAGGACACCACGUGUUCAUCAAUUUACGAACAGAGAAAGUUUAUUGUCUUCCUGAUGGAUAUGAAGUCAUAGAUCCAUCGCUUGAUGACAUUAUUCAUGUGCUGAAUCCAAGAUUUGCUCAAGAACA